AACCUCCGCAAUGUGAGAAAUCGCGACGGGGGGAUCCCAAGUGCCAUUCUUAACGGGAUGGCUUUUCAUUAGUGUAAAGAGCUUUUGGAAUAAGAGCUGGGCAAGACCGGUGUCCGCCGCCGCGGUAACACCGGCAGCUCUAGUGGUAACAAUUUUUAUUGGGCCUAAAGCGUCCGUAGCCGGUUUAAUAAGUCUCUGGUGAAAUCCUGCAGCUUAACUGUGGGAAUUGCUGGAGAUACUAUUAGACUUGAGACCGGGAGAGGUUAGAGGUACUCCCAGGGUAGAGGUGAAAUUCUGUAAUCCUGGGAGGACCGCCUGUUGCGAAGGCGUCUAACUGGAACGGUUCUGACGGUGAGGGACGAAAGUUAGGGACGCGAACCGGAUUAGAUACCCGGGUAGUCCUAACUGUAAACGAUGCGGACUUGGUGUUGGGGUGGCUUUGAGCUGCUCCAGUGCCGAAGGGAAGCUGUUAAGUCCGCCGCCUGGGAAGUACGGUCGCAAGACUGAAACUUAAAGGAAUU
RNAcentral lists this ribosomal RNA (521 nucleotides) under uncultured bacterium. Its description in RNAcentral is "bacterial SSU rRNA". It matches the Rfam family "Archaeal small subunit ribosomal RNA", at positions 345 to 866 of the family's 1478-position model. The record is from RNAcentral.